RNAcentral lists this unclassified non-coding RNA (161 nucleotides) under uncultured Pyronemataceae. RNAcentral's name for it is "sequence contains ITS1". Lineage: Eukaryota; Fungi; Ascomycota; Pezizomycetes; Pezizales; Pyronemataceae. The record is from RNAcentral.
CCAUGUAAUUCAGUCAUGCUGCUGCGUGAGCUGUAUAAACCCACCCUGCGUACGCUGUCCUGUUGCUUCCGCCGGGCGGAUAUACGCCCGGCGGAAGGGAAAGAAUAACCUCCGAGCUUACUACUGAAUCUGUCUGAAUGAAUAGGAGCAACAAACUGUUA